GCUCCCCACCAUGAUGAUAAUGGACUGAACCUCUGAAACUAAUUCUGUCUCUGUACUCACCCAUAGGAGGCCUUUGCCGCCCACUCAGCGGGGAAAACAGUGAUUGACAAUGCCUUUUGGAGCACAGAUGCUGUUUGAUUUAUGAUGGAGCUACAUUCAGAUAAAUACAUCAUAGGCUGAGCAACUAGAGGUUACACUGAAUUCACUGAAUGAAUGCAGCCUACAGACACCGAGCUCAGCAGUAGAGCGCGCUGCACCAUGGGAGUUUCUUCUGGUGGUCUGUGGUCAAUGAUGGCAGCACUGACUGGAAACUGUGGCUUUGAAUUCUGUUCAGCAUCCUGAAAGAUGUUCCAUAUGAUGCGCAUGUGCCGUCUUUGGCAUUUGUGGCAGAUAUUGUCAUCUACAAAAUUCAUGCUCAAAAAUAGAACAGUGGGGUUUAAAUUUUUUUUAACUGAUAAUGUCUUAAGUGAUUUUAUACUUUCAUGUUGGGCCUCAUUCAGUGCCAUUCUAGAGAUCACGUGCCUGGCGGUUCUCUAUGAGAAACAUCAGUGCAGGAAAAAAGGAAAUUGGAAAUCUGAAGAAUAAGUCAUCUGAUUGUUUCCUACCAGCACCAGCUUUGAACAACAGUGAGCCAAACCAUUGUAAACUGGGUCGUCAUGGUGAGCCAAGGACAGCAUGUAUUAACGUCUGUACCACAGUAUAGUCUGCUUUCUGAAAUGUAAUACAAAUUUUCUUUAAUAUUGCAACCAUUAUUUACAAAUGCAUAGAAGAAAACUUUCU
Molecule: non-coding RNA, 780 nt
Organism: Cricetulus griseus (Chinese hamster)
Lineage: Eukaryota; Metazoa; Chordata; Mammalia; Rodentia; Cricetidae
Source: RefSeq, a predicted model, not a curated record